This 253-nucleotide ribosomal RNA is filed under the name uncultured bacterium. RNAcentral's name for it is "partial 16S ribosomal RNA". It matches the Rfam family "Bacterial small subunit ribosomal RNA", at positions 524 to 776 of the family's 1533-position model. The record is from RNAcentral.
UACGUAGGGUCCGAGCGUUGUCCGGAAUCAUUGGGCGUAAAGCGCGUGUAGGCGGCCCGGUAAGUCCGCUGUGAAAGUCGGGGGCUCAACCCUCGGAAGCCGGUGGAUACUGUCGGGCUGGAGUACGGAAGAGGCGAGUGGAAUUCCUGGUGUAGCGGUGAAAUGCGCAGAUAUCAGGAGGAACACCUAUUGCGAAGGCAGCUCGCUGGGAAGUUACUGACGCUGAGACGCGAAAGCGUGGGGAGCAAACAGG